CUGCCAGUAGUCAUAUGCUUGUCUCAAAGAUUAAGCCAUGCAUGUCUCAGUACAAGCCAAAUUAAGGUGAAACCGCGAAAGGCUCAUUAAAUCAGUUAUGGUUCCUUAGAUCGUACCCACAAUUACUUGGAUAACUGUGGUAAUUCUAGAGCUAAUACAUGCAAACAGAGCUCCGACCGGAGACGGAAGGAGUGCUUUUAUUAGAUCAAAACCAAUCGGUGGCGAGUUCGCUCGUCAUCGUACAACUUGGUGACUCUGAAUAACUUUACGCUGAUCGCACGGUCUCGCACCGGCGACGCAUCUUUCAAAUGUCUGCCUUAUCAACUGUCGAUGGUAGGUUCUGCGCCUACCAUGGUUGUAACGGGUAACGGGGAAUCAGGGUUCGAUUCCGGAGAGGGAGCCUGAGAAACGGCUACCACAUCCAAGGAAGGCAGCAGGCGCGCAAAUUACCCACUCCCGGCACGGGGAGGUAGUGACGAAAAAUAACGAUACGGGACUCAUCCGAGGCCCCGUAAUCGGAAUGAGUACACUGUAAACCCUUUAACGAGGAUCAAUUGGAGGGCAAGUCUGGUGCCAGCACCCGCGGUAAUUCC
This 593-nucleotide ribosomal RNA is filed under the name Gymnopholus subnacreus. RNAcentral's name for it is "SSU rRNA". It matches the Rfam family "Eukaryotic small subunit ribosomal RNA", at positions 14 to 586 of the family's 1831-position model. Lineage: Eukaryota; Metazoa; Arthropoda; Insecta; Coleoptera; Curculionidae. The record is from RNAcentral.